GAGUCAAUUUAGACAUAUCUCAUUCUUAGCAGCUUAGCUCAUUAGUAGAGAUCCUUACAAGCAUAGUUUCUUGCUUUCAUUUCUUACUCUGCUGAUUUCUUUCAAUAGGGUGUGGUGGAAAAGGAGAGUAAUUUUGUUAGGUAAGAAGGAAAGAUUGAGAGAAAAUGGAGGGAAAGUCUAAAGGGUAUCAAGCCUCCUCCUUCGUUGCUGAUCUUUUCGAUGUCAAGGAGCCGCCAUCAACUUCUUCAUCAGAAGUCUUUGCAGCAAUCUUUCCUUCUCCACAGAAGGGGGGAGGCAGGAAUUCUUCUAGCUCUGGGGAUUGGCUAAAACAGGCCAAUGGAAAUCAACCAUCCCACGCCAGACAAGGAAAUUCAGAUCUGAUAAUUUCAAGGAGGGAGCUUGGAGCCUUGCCAUCUGAGUUCAUCUCUAUACUAUGGAGGACAAGAUGGUUACUCCCAGGCCCCAUCAGCUGGACCAUCCCCAUCCCCUGCCCCCACUUUGAAGAAAAGUGGGGGAGAAGAUGAUCCAAAUGGAAACAACUUCCAACCUGCUUCUAGGGGAAAUUGGUGGCAAGGUUCUCUUUAUUAUUAGGACGACUGCCUUUCCUUGGUGGCGCAUGAAUUCCCUCCUAUUUUCCAAGGAAUUCAUAACGAAGCUGAGCAGUGGAGCUUUGAAGUUGGAUUUACAUUACAUUGUGUAUACCAUUUCAAAUUAAUUUCUUGUUUGUUUUUUCUUUUACUUUGAAAAAUGGUGUGAAGUUUUCUGUAUUUUCUUUCCUUUAUUUCCUCUUUUAUUAAAACUGUGCCAUAAUUUUCAGUUCAAUAAUUAUAAGACGAUAGA
Molecule: non-coding RNA, 840 nt
Organism: Cucurbita pepo subsp. pepo (vegetable marrow)
Lineage: Eukaryota; Viridiplantae; Streptophyta; Magnoliopsida; Cucurbitales; Cucurbitaceae
Source: RefSeq, a predicted model, not a curated record